CGCCCAAUUGGCAAUGGGCAAAGAGUCACCAUUGGUGAUGUUGUUCUUACAUCAGUCAGGGCAGAGCAGAAGGCGGUCCUUUGUUCAUCCUAGCUUGAUGCUUGGCUUGAUGUCCAAAGCUUUCUUUUGCCUAGGACACAGAA
Molecule: small nucleolar RNA, 143 nt
Organism: Rattus norvegicus (Norway rat)
Lineage: Eukaryota; Metazoa; Chordata; Mammalia; Rodentia; Muridae
Product: small nucleolar RNA SNORA48
Source: Ensembl